This 463-nucleotide ribosomal RNA is filed under the name uncultured bacterium. Its description in RNAcentral is "partial 16S ribosomal RNA". It matches the Rfam family "Bacterial small subunit ribosomal RNA", at positions 28 to 507 of the family's 1533-position model. The record is from RNAcentral.
GAUGAACGCUGGCAGCAUGCUUAACACAUGCCAGUCUUUCGCGAAGCUGUGCUUGCACCGCCUAGCCAAGGCGGACGGGUGAGUAACGCGUAAGGAACUUGCCCUGCAGUCAGGGAUAACAGACGGAAACGACUGCUAAGACCUGGUAAAGUCAGACUGACUCCUGUACAGCCUGAUGAAAAGAGAUGCUGCAGGAGAGCCUUGCGUCCUAUUAGCUUGUUGGUGGGGUAACGGCCCACCAAGGCGAUGAUAGGUAGCCGGCCUGAGAGGGUGGACGGCCACAAGGGGACUGAGAUACGGCCCUUACUCCUACGGGAGGCAGCAGUGGGGAAUAUUGGACAAUGGGGGCAACCCUGAUCCAGCAAUUCUGUGUGCACGAUGAAGGUUUUCGGAUUGUAAAGUGCUUUCAGCAGGGAAGAAAAAAAUGACGGUACCUGCAGAAGAAGCGACGGCUAAAUACGUG